Molecule: ribosomal RNA, 392 nt
Filed under: uncultured Gammaproteobacteria bacterium
Lineage: Bacteria; Pseudomonadati; Pseudomonadota; Gammaproteobacteria
Description: bacterial SSU rRNA
Rfam family: Bacterial small subunit ribosomal RNA
Source: RNAcentral
AAUGGGCGCAAGCCUGAUCCAGCCAUGCCGCGUGAGUGAUGAAGGCCCUAGGGUCGUAAAGCUCUUUCGCCUGUGAAGAUAAUGACGGUAGCAGGUAAAGAAACCCCGGCUAACUCCGUGCCAGCAGCCGCGGUAAUACGGAGGGGGUUAGCGUUGUUCGGAAUUACUGGGCGUAAAUCGCGCGUAGGCGGAUUAGUAAGUCAGAGGUGAAAUCCCGGGGCUCAACCCCGGAACUGCCUUUGAUACUGCUAGUCUUGAGUUCGAGAGAGGUAAGUGGAAUUCCGAGUGUAGAGGUGAAAUUCGUAGAUAUUCGGAGGAACACCAGUGGCGAAGGCGGCUUACUGGCUCGAUACUGACGCUGAGGUGCGAAAGUGUGGGGAGCAAACAGGAUU